UGGGGCGUCGCCAAGCGGUAAGGCUGCUGGUUUUGGUCCAGCCACUCGGAGGUUCGAAUCCUUCCGCCCCAG
RNAcentral lists this transfer RNA (72 nucleotides) under Microthamnion kuetzingianum. RNAcentral describes it as "tRNA-Gln". It matches the Rfam family "tRNA". From Rfam's summary of the family: Transfer RNA (tRNA) molecules are approximately 80 nucleotides in length. Their secondary structure includes four short double-helical elements and three loops (D, anti-codon, and T loops). The record is from RNAcentral. Lineage: Eukaryota; Viridiplantae; Chlorophyta; Trebouxiophyceae; Microthamniales; Microthamniaceae.